RNAcentral lists this ribosomal RNA (253 nucleotides) under uncultured bacterium. Its description in RNAcentral is "partial 16S ribosomal RNA". It matches the Rfam family "Bacterial small subunit ribosomal RNA", at positions 524 to 776 of the family's 1533-position model. The record is from RNAcentral.
GACGGAGGGUGCAAGCGUUAUCCGGAUUCACUGGGUUUAAAGGGUGCGUAGGUGGGCUAGUAAGUCCGUGGUGAAAUCUCUGAGCUUAACUCGGAAACUGCCGUGGAUACUAUUAGUCUUGAAUCUCGUGGAGGUAAGCGGAAUAUGUCAUGUAGCGGUGAAAUGCUUAGAUAUGACAUAGAACACCGAUAGCGAAGGCAGCUUGCUACACGAGUAUUGACACUGAGGCACGAAAGCGUGGGGAUCAAACAGG